RNAcentral lists this ribosomal RNA (34 nucleotides) under Neoaquastroma krabiense. RNAcentral describes it as "partial 18S ribosomal RNA". The record is from RNAcentral. Lineage: Eukaryota; Fungi; Ascomycota; Dothideomycetes; Pleosporales.
CGUACUGAUCCGAGGUCAAAGUGGGGGGGGAUGA